CGGAUGUGGGGAGCUGAACAGCCUAACCUGGCCUUGUAGUCCCUGAGAUAAUGGUCUACCUUAUCUAUCACACCCCUAAAGUAACGGAGCAAGCUGAUUCCCAACUGGCAUCUCAGAACCCUUAGUGGACAAUUUCCCACCAACGCAUUGGACUGUUAUUUGAGCAGCUGGAGAGAAAGAGACGUUUAUAGACGUGCAAUGAAGCCAGGGAGGUUUAUGCAUCACAGAUAUUGAGACAGAGUACUCUGGAAAUAAACUACAGACACGGUCGCCUUCUA
Mastomys coucha (southern multimammate mouse) is the source of this 278-nucleotide long non-coding RNA. RefSeq lists it as uncharacterized. The transcript is spliced from 3 exons. The record is from RefSeq and is a predicted model, not a curated record. Lineage: Eukaryota; Metazoa; Chordata; Mammalia; Rodentia; Muridae.